This 497-nucleotide ribosomal RNA is filed under the name uncultured bacterium. RNAcentral's name for it is "partial 16S ribosomal RNA". It matches the Rfam family "Bacterial small subunit ribosomal RNA", at positions 28 to 507 of the family's 1533-position model. The record is from RNAcentral.
GACGAACGCUGGCGGCGUGCCUAAUACAUGCAAGUCGAACGCUGAAGAGAGGAGCUUACUCUUCUUGGAUGAGUUGCGAACGGGUGAGUAACGCGUAGGUAACCUGCCUUGUAGCGGGGGAUAACUAUUGGAAACGAUAGCUAAUACCGCAUAACAAUGGAUGACACAUGUCAUUUAUUUGAAAGGGGCAAUUGCUCCACUACAAGAUGGACCUGCGUUGUAUUAGCUAGUAGGUGAGGUAAUGGCUCACCUAGGCGACGAUACAUAGCCGACCUGAGAGGGUGAUCGGCCACACUGGGACUGAGACACGGCCCAGACUCCUACGGGAGGCAGCAGUAGGGAAUCUUCGGCAAUGGGGGCAACCCUGACCGAGCAACGCCGCGGGAGUGAAGAAGGUUUUCGGAUCGUAAAGAUCUGUUGUAAGUCAAGAACGGGUGUGAGAGUGGAAAGUUCACACUGUGACGGUAGCUUACCAGAAAGGGACGGCUAACUACGUG